GUCGCUUAGCCUCACCGAAAAGACUGUCCAGCAGGAAAACAUUUAUGCCAAAUAUCAGGCAGGAUGGACAUCCUCCAUUCAGCUCUCAUCUGCAUUGAUGCACACACAUGUUCAUUAACAUGAGAACUGUUGGGUGUUACAAGCUGGGCUAUUAAGUUGUUUUUUUUUUUGCAAGGGGGCUAUUAAGUUGUUGCCUCAUGUUACUAAUGCCUUUAAUAUGUUGUUUCAAAUAGCCUUACUGAAUAAGUUGACUCAUGUUGUGUAGCUGACCGCGGAACAACUAUUUACCUAGAGAAGUCUGAAGGUAUUCCUCUUCUUUUUUUCUUUCAGAUCAAAUAGAAAACAUCAAUAUAGAUGAUAUUUGGCCUGUUCAAAUUUCUCCAUGGCUUAUUCACGAAUCUAUCUCACCGGAACAGCUACUUACCUGAGAGCAUAUGAUCAAAUUCUAUACCCUAUGGUAGGAGAACAUUGAUGGACAUGAAACUAGCUACUUACCUAAGAGCGUAUGAUCAAAUUCUAUACCCUAUGGUAGGAGAACAUUUAUGGACAUGAACCUGCUAAGAUCAUACCAGAAUUAUAAAAAGAAAACAAGCUGGAAGUCCAAGGACAAAGAAUAGGAGGACUAACCUAAGUAUCUUAGACUGCCAGAUUUCUAUUAUUUAAAAAUUGUCACCUUGCCUGCUUAUGAUCUUACCAUUUCAUUUUUUGUUUCCUAUUUUCAUCUUUACAGUGAAUAUAGAAAAAUACACGAGAAACUGAAGAUUCUUAGCAUCUUAAUGUUCUAUCCGUUUCAGUAUGCGACGCCAUAUGUUCCUUGCCGAGACCACAAAAGUUCCUAUUUUAGUAGAUUUGAGUUGACGUUUCUUCUUCUUUUACAAAAUAUACUUGCCACCAUCUCAGUUAGCAUAUCAAAUAGAAUGCCCCAAGACAGUAAGCCUGACGAGAAAACAUAGGGACGUCAAGAAUAUAUUUGAUUUCCAUUGAGAAAAAAAGACAUAGGUGUUUCUACUUCUAACUUCCAUCUUGAACCAUGACACUGCACUAUAGACUCUAUCUUCAUGUAAUUUGUAAUCGCACGCCACAUGAUUUAUGUUAAUCCAUGUUCUAUAUUACCACUCAUGUCUAGGGUUUAUUCCAUAUAGAUACAUCUUGAACUGCAUCUUAUUAGGAUUGGAUUUGUAUGGCAUGGACAUCUGAGCUGUUGACUUUUUCUACGGCCAAGAUUUCUGACCAAAUAUUUUAACAAUUAAUUACUUUAUUGGUUAUUUUCUGUAUUAUUUUAUACUUCAACCUUUACACCUUAUGACAUUCUUUUGUUUGCGGGGGUACAUGCAAUUGUUAUAUAUAUUUAGAAAUAGUACAUGUGAAGAAAAAUGAAAAUUUUCAGGUUUUUUAGAGGCGGAUAUUUUAUUGGCCUUACAGGUGAUUGAAAUCUACAAGAAGUGCUUAUGGUGUUGAGCUACCUUCUGGUAAAUUCAUAAACAUAUGUCUACUGUCAUUUUGGAGGUAGUAUAAUUAAUUUCAAAAGCCAGCCUCCAAAAGUUAUAUCUCACACCACUGUUAUAUAUGCAGUUUGUUGCGCAACACAUGAGUGAUCUGUUUUCUUACAGAUAGUGACAAAUAUAUUAAUAGAAGGCAUGUCAUGGCGUUUCUGGAGAGACUUACUUAAUUUCUUUUUUUGUUCAUGUUUUUCAAGAUAUGUUUUAAUUCCACUUUACACUCCUUUAUGUGGCAUUGUUCGUAAUUUAUGCUUGCUCCUCUCUUAUUUAUUUGGUUUGAGGGAACAUAACGAUUGGCAAUAUGCAUUGCAGGUUCAGUCCUGAACAUUGUGGACUGGAUGUACGUAUGAUGUUGUGAAGCUUUUUCUCCGUGUUUUGUUUUUGCCCACUGCAUUUAGUUGAUUUGAAAAAAAUGUUUGGAAUAUGUACAUAGGAUUUAGCCAUGUGGAUCUGUUCGUUACUCUUUCAUGUGCAGUUAAUUUAUAUGUAUACCAUUGAAAUUUUGAUUCAAUUUUUUUUUCAUGACGAGGUCUUUAAUUCAUUUGUGUUUAUCUC
Long non-coding RNA from Lolium perenne, 2054 nucleotides. RefSeq lists it as uncharacterized. The record is from RefSeq and is a predicted model, not a curated record. NCBI's taxonomy places the organism in Eukaryota, Viridiplantae, Streptophyta, Magnoliopsida, Poales, Poaceae.